Long non-coding RNA from Trachymyrmex cornetzi, 390 nucleotides. RefSeq lists it as uncharacterized. Lineage: Eukaryota; Metazoa; Arthropoda; Insecta; Hymenoptera; Formicidae. The record is from RefSeq and is a predicted model, not a curated record. The transcript is spliced from 3 exons.
AAAAAGUGUGGGAAGAGGAAAAAUUUUAACAAAAUUUUAGACUGUAAGAAGAAAUCUUAUAAAAUCUGGCGCUAUUAAAGUGCAAUCAAAAAAAGACGAAAAAAUAGAAGAAAUAACUGAUGAUUGUGAAGAUUCAGACUGUGAGCAAUACGAUUUGUGGUUGCAAAAUAAUGAUAAACCGUGGAUAAAAGUAACUCAAUUAUGGGAGAAAACAUCUAAAAUACGAUUAAAGUCUUUACAAUCCGGUGUGAUCAUAGUAUUCAAGAUUAUAUUAAACUUUAUUCUGCUUUAGAAGAACCUCAAGGAUAUACCUUACUGGAAAAAGAUUUUGAAAAAUUGUAUCCUGAAGCACAUAUGAAAAUGUAUGCACAAUGGGCCAAAUUGUCAGCA